Onychostruthus taczanowskii (white-rumped snowfinch) is the source of this 3000-nucleotide long non-coding RNA. RefSeq lists it as uncharacterized. The record is from RefSeq and is a predicted model, not a curated record. The transcript is spliced from 3 exons. NCBI's taxonomy places the organism in Eukaryota, Metazoa, Chordata, Aves, Passeriformes, Passeridae.
UGGGUUGGAAGGGACAAAAAUGGGUUGGAAGGGACAAAAAUGGGUUGGAAGAGACACAAGUUGGUGGUGAGCGAACGGAAUUGGCUUGGAACCAUCAAAAAUGGGUUGGAAGAGACAAAAAUGGGUUGGAAGAGACAAAAGUUGGUGGUGAGUGCACGGAAUUGGCUUGGAACCAUCAAAAAACGGGUUGAAAGUGACAAAAAUGGGUUGGAAGACACCAAAAAUGGGUUGGAAGAGACAAAAGUUGGUGGUGAGUGCACGGAAUUGGCUUGGAACCAUCAAAGAUGGGUUGAAAGUUACAAAAAUGGGUUGAAAGUGACAAAAAUGGGUUGGAAGAGACAAAAGUUGGUGGUGAGCGAACGGAAUUGCCUUGGAAACAUCAAAAAUGGCAUUGAGGUGGUGAAAAUGGGUUGGAAGAGACAAAAGUUGGUGGUGAACAAGUGGAAUUGGCUUGGAACCAUCAAAAAAUGGGUUGGAAGUGGCAAAAAUUUGUGGAAAGCAACAAAAAUUGGUGGUGAGCAAAUGGAAUUGGCUUGGAGCCAUCAAAAAUGGGUUGAAAGUGAAAAAAAAGGCUUGAAACCGUCACAAAUUGGUAAAAAAACAAAUCAAAAGGGUUUGAAAUCACCAAAAAUGGUUUGAAACCACCAAAACUUGGUCGAAACUCGACAGAAAAGUUUUGAAAGCAGGAAAAAAAUGGGUGAAACCAUCAAAAAUUGGUAAAAACCCAAGAGAAAGGUCUUGAAAUGAUGAAAAAAUGGGUGAAACCAUCAGGAAUUGGUCAAAACACUGCAGGAAAGUCUUGAAGCCAUCAAAACCUGGCUUGAAGCCGUCAAAAAUGGCUUGAAAGGGAGAAAAAGUGGCUUGAAACCAUCAGAAAUUGGUCUAAACCCAAAAGAACGGUCUUGAAACCGCCAAAAUUUGUUUGAAACCAUCCAUAAACGGGUAGAAAACUGGUGGAAUAGGUUUGAAACCACAAAAAAUGGUGUGAAACAGUCCAAAAAUGGGUGAAAGCAUCAAAAAUAGCUUGAAACCACCAAAAUCGGUUUGAAACCACCAAAACUUGGUUGAAAGUCAACGGAAAGGUCUUGAAAUCAUCAAAAAAUGGAUGAAACCGUCAGGAAUCGGUCAAAACACUACAGAAAGGUCUUGAAACCAUCAAAAAUUGCCUUAAAACCAAAAAAAAUGGGUGUGAAACGCCCAAAAUUUCUUCUACACUCAACGCAAAGAUCUUGAACCCACCAAAACCAGCUUGAAACCACCAGAAGUUGGUGUUAAGCCAAUGAAAAGGUCUUGAAACCAUCAAAACUUGAUAUAAACCCACCAAAAACGGUUUGAAAUCACCAAAAUUUGGUCCAAACACAACAGAAAGGUCGUGAAACAACAAAACUUGACCUAAACCCACCAAAAUCGGCUUGAAACCACCAAAACUUGGUUGAAACUCAACAGAAAGGUCUUGAAGCCAUCAAAAAUGGGUUGAAAGUGGCAAAAAAUGUCUGAAAGUGACAAAAAUUGGUGAGGAACUGAGGGAAGGUCUUGACAUCAUCCAGAAUUGGCUUGAAAGUCAUAAAAAAUCAUUGAAAACCAAUGGAAAGGUCUUGAGUGGGUUGAAAAGUGAAAAAAUUUGGCUUGAAACCACCAGAAAUUGGUCUAAACACAAAAGAAAGGUCUUGAAACCAUCAAAGAUUGGAAGAAAAGCAAUGGAAAGGUUUUGAAACCGCAAAAAAAAGAGCGUGAAAUGGUCCAAAAAGGGUGAAACCACCAAAACUGGUUUGAAACCACCAAAACUUGGUCAAAACCCAACACGAAGGUCUUGAGAUCAUCAAAAAAAGGGUGAAAGCAUUGGUGCAAACUAAACAGAAAGGUCUCAAACUCAUCAAAAGUGGCUUGAGAGUACCAAAAAAUGGAGAAAAACCCACAGAAAGGUCUGGAAACCAUCAAAAGUUGGUUCAAACCCAACAGAAAGGGCUUGAAACCACCAAAAGUUGGCUUGAAACCUUCAAAAAUUGGUCCAAACCCACCAAAAUUGGCUCGAAACCAUCAAAAGUGGCUUGAAAGGGACCAAAAUGGUGGGAAACCAAUGAAAUUGUCUUGGAAUCAUCAGAAAUGGUUUGGAGAUGGCAGAUAUCGGUGUGAAAGCAUCAAAAAUGGUUGGAGACCAUCAGAAGAUGGCUUAAAAGACACAAAAAUUAGUGGGAAAGCUGCAAAAAAUCGGUGAGGAACCAAGAGAAGGUCUUGAAACCAUCAAAAAUCAUCUUGAAAGUGGCAAAAAUUGGUUGAAACGGGAAAAAAUUGUCUGAAAACAACAAAAAAAUGGUGAGGAACCGAGAGAAGAGUCUUGAAAUCAUCAAGAAUUGGUUAGGAAGUGGCAAAAAUGGGUUGGAAGUGAAAAAAAUUGAGUUGAAGUCAUCAAAAAUGGCUUGAAAGUCGUAAAAAGUGGUGGGAAAGGAACGGAAAAGUUUGGAAACGGUCGAAGGUUGGUUUAAACCAUCCAAAAAUGGUCAAAACUCAACAGUAAAGGUCUUGAAACCAUCAAAAAUUGUCCUAGAAUCACGAAAAUUUCUUCCAAACCCAAUGGACAGGUCUUGAACCCACCAAAAUUGGUGUUGCACCAAAAAAAAGGUCUUGAAACCAUCAAAAAUUGGUCAAAACCCACCAAAAAUUGUUCAAAACCACCAAAAUUUGACCCAACCUCAACAGAAAAUUCUUGAAACCACCAAAAAAAGGCCUAAACCCACCAAAAUUAGCUUGAAAGCAGCAAAAAUUGAUGUAAACCCAACAGAAAGGUCUUGAAACCAUCACAAUUUGGUCUAAACCCCACAGAAAGGUCUUAAAAGUGUCAAAAAUUGCUUUGAAGACACCAAAAAUGGCUUGAAAAUGCCAAAAAUUGGCGUAAACCCAACGGAAAGGUCUUGAAACCAUCAAAAUCUGACCUAAAUGCACAAAAAUUGCCUUUAAACCCCCAAAAUUUCUUCCAAACCCAACAGAAAAGACUUGAACCCA